CCGAAGCAAAAAUAGAUAAAUAGGUGGUAUGAGAAAAGCACCACCUAUAGAAUGGAGGAUGUCUCGUAGAAAAAGUUGCUACUGCCAACUGCGUGGCUUCCCGUUCGUGGGCCUUUCAUUAUUCCAAAUCAGGAAAACACUGAGACGUUUGAAACGAGCGUUAACACUUACUUUAACCUCCGCAGUGCUUGGUAGCAUUGCGACAAGCCAUGCGACAUAUCAAAGAAAACUCAAGAAUUUAGGAAAUGCAGUUACGAACCAUAUGGGAGGGGGAACCAGCUGCAGUAAGAAUAAUGGAAAGUUCCUGCUUAGUGUCUGCUGCAAAGAAGCAUCAAAGUCAGAAUGACAUCAAUUGCAACAUUUUCAUAAUUAUGACACACAUAUUAUUAUCCUGGAAACCAAUGCUCCCCUAUAUCUAAUGAAGGAAUUGGACAAAUUUAUCCAGAAGGGGCCAUUACGCAAGAUGAGAUCAGCAAAUCAUGUAGAGAGCAAGAAUCUCAAUGGAUCAAUGCUUUGAGCUUGCAGAGGCUUCUAAUUGUAUAUUGAUUUUUCAUGCCUUGCUAAUCAUUUUUACUGGUAAAACAAUAUUUCUACGCACAAUCUGAGAACUGUUCAGAGAUUAUUAUACUCUUUGCGGAGAAUUCUGUUCAUAUGCCUAACUUGCAACUCUAUUUUCAUGUAGCUUGUUAUUAUUUACAUACCUUUCAUUUUAUUCAUUCUUACCCACUUAAAAUUUUGUAUCUUGUUGUUGUUUUUUAUCUUUUGUAGCGGCUAUUGCCUCCAAAUCUGGAGCAUCUAAUCUGCCAGCUUCAUCAUUUUGUCUUCAGUUAUUCAUUCUGUAACACAAAGUCUCCAAACCCACAUUACAAAUUAAUCAAAAAUAACGUUUCAGCUUAUAAAAAGAGUAAGGAUGAUAUAUGCAGAAUGAGAGGUCCUUUGGAAAAUGUUGCUAUGCUCUGCAGUAGGGGGCAGCAAAGGAACAUCACUGCAUAAGUGAAAAGACACCAAUAAUAUAUUGGACACCAAAAAUUGUAGGUAUCUCUCUUGAUGCAAAGUAAAUUGCAUAAUAUUCUAUUGCUGUUUUAUGUAUGAAUGAAAUUAUUCAAGACAAUUGUUAUAUAAUGUUAUAUGUUAAAUAUUUCACUUCAUUUCUUUUUGUUUUCUAUGUACAGUAUAUGUGUAUGUAUACAAAAUAUAUAAUAAAGGAAAUGUGAAUAUUGAAAGCUAGGUAAAUUGUGCAUGCUAGAAAAAGUUUGCAUUCUAGUUUAAAAUAAAAUGUACCAUUUAUUUAAUUAAAUUAGGGUAUGUUUGGACCUUGAAAAUUCCACAUUUGCACAAUUAUUAUUUUCUAAGGAUCAAUUAUCAUGUUUCUUUUAUUCUUUUAUUCCAAGCACACACUACCCGAGAGUAUGUUAUAAUUCUGUUAUAAUGGCUCAUAUGGUUAGGUUGCUGGGUUGGAGGUUAGCAAGCUCGUAUUUGAGACUCUUGUGCUGCCAUGGGAUGGGAUGAGUUCACCUCCUUUACUCCAGCUCCUGCUGGCUACAUGAAAAGAGUCCCCAACUGGGCAUCCUCAGGCAACAGUGAUAUCACUGGCCAAUCAUUUCAAUCUGGAAGCCCCUCGGGGCUUCUGACGUGUAUGAUGUGAGUACAUAUAAGGGCCAAAUAUGUUGCUAAAUAAGAUAGGAUUGGUGUUGAGGGACUAUUGAGCUUUAGAAGCAACAAUCUAAUGCCAUAUUUAUACCUGCCUUCCAUGUCCUUCCUCCCUAAAACUGAGAGCAGUUCAGCAUCCAUAUUUAUGUAGAAUCCAACUUCUAUUUUCCUUUCUUUUUAAGACUUCAUUAACUUGGGCAAAUAGCUCUGAAAAAUGCAGUAAAAAUCUUAUUAUAAGAUCUCACUAGAUACUACAGUUAUCAUAAGAGAGUCAUGUUUGACUUAAAUAACACUGUAUUUUUCUAUCAAAAUUUAGGGUCAGAUGUAGGAGGAAAAAUUCAUUUCUGAUGUGAAAUCAAAUUAUUUGUCAGGGGAGAGCAGAAACAAGUAUCCAAUGAACUACUGUAUGAAUUAUAUCCUUUGCUGUGAUUGUUUUUAUUAUUGAAAAAGCAAGAAAUAAAUUUGAUGAAAGCAAACUAUCCUUCAUUUUCUUG
This is a long non-coding RNA of Thamnophis elegans (Western terrestrial garter snake), 2144 nucleotides long. RefSeq lists it as uncharacterized. The transcript has 3 exons. NCBI's taxonomy places the organism in Eukaryota, Metazoa, Chordata, Lepidosauria, Squamata, Natricidae. The record is from RefSeq and is a predicted model, not a curated record.